AUGAUCUGGGUGAUGAAGAAAAUCAGACGGAUUCCCAUUGGUUUUCCAAUAUGAUUUUAACAACCAGCUACUUCUGACAGAUCAU
RNAcentral lists this small nucleolar RNA (85 nucleotides) under Oryza sativa (Asian cultivated rice). Its description in RNAcentral is "Z131b small nucleolar RNA". It matches the Rfam family "Small nucleolar RNA R12". From Rfam's summary of the family: snoR12 is a C/D box small nucleolar RNA, which acts as a methylation guide for 25S ribosomal RNA in plants. snoR12 has been alternatively named snoZ44 in Arabidopsis and snoZ131 in rice. Lineage: Eukaryota; Viridiplantae; Streptophyta; Magnoliopsida; Poales; Poaceae. The record is from RNAcentral.